AAAAAUAAUAAUAAUAAAAUUCACAAACUUUAAUUAUAAUUAAUUUUUUCUUUGUUUACCAAGUUGUGAGGUAGGCUUAAAUCCAGAUUCAAGAGGCGAUGAUAUGCCUGCUAAUGCCAAUGGUACACCGUUUGUCGUCUUUAAAAAGGUUUUUUCAGGUUACAAUCACGACGGUGAAACACAUCGGGGAUGUAUGAGGGUAUUAUCGUAAUUAAACGCAAUCAACGUCCAUUCUCGCCAGUUGAACAACAGCUAAACCCACUCCACCAGCCAACAACGCUGUAUAAUCACCAAAUCACUGCCUGAGAACGCGAAGGCAAGGACAAAAAAUCCCGACGCCAAAAACCACAUUCCCGAUUUCGCCAAAAAUAUUGCCAGCUAUGAAGUAACUUCUCUUUUCCUUCCCCCUGUCAUCAAGGACAAAAAAUCCCGACGCCAAAAACCACAUUCCCGAUUUCGCCAAAAAUAUUGCCAGCUAUGAAGUAACUUCUCUUUUCCUUCCCCCUGUCAUAGUCAUCGCCGACGUCGAUUUCCAAUGGCUUCCCUCUCCGGUCUCUGUUCCUCUUCCCCUUCUCUCAAGCCUAAAACUCCUCUUCUCAAAACCACUAUCAAUUCGCGGCCGCUCAGGACCUCACUCACAUUUGCAACUCGCUCCCGACUUGAGCCAAUUCAGUCCGUUGCGCGCGAGAUAUCCACCGGUUUAUCCAAGACAAAUGACAAGUUGCUGAGCAAGCCGAAACAAGGAUUGGAGAAAGAUCCUAGCGCUCUAUGGAGGCGAUACGUGGAUUGGCUGUACCAACACAAGGAGCUAGGGCUGUGUUUGGACGUUAGCCGGAUCGGGUUCACAGACGAGUUUGUGGCGGAGAUGGAGCCCCGAUUACAGAAGGCUUUUAAGGAUAUGGAGAAGCUGGAGAAGGGCGCGAUUGCGAAUCCUGAUGAAGGGAGGAUGGUCGGGCAUUAUUGGUUGAGGAAUUCG
RNAcentral lists this unclassified non-coding RNA (976 nucleotides) under Hevea brasiliensis (rubber tree). Lineage: Eukaryota; Viridiplantae; Streptophyta; Magnoliopsida; Malpighiales; Euphorbiaceae. The record is from RNAcentral.